RNAcentral lists this RNase P RNA (420 nucleotides) under Nostoc sp. 2RC. RNAcentral describes it as "RNase P RNA component class A". It matches the Rfam family "Bacterial RNase P class A". Rfam says of the family: Ribonuclease P (RNase P) is a ubiquitous endoribonuclease, found in archaea, bacteria and eukarya as well as chloroplasts and mitochondria. Its best characterised activity is the generation of mature 5'-ends of tRNAs by cleaving the 5'-leader elements of precursor-tRNAs. Cellular RNase Ps are ribonucleoproteins. The record is from RNAcentral. Lineage: Bacteria; Bacillati; Cyanobacteriota; Cyanophyceae; Nostocales; Nostocaceae.
AGAGUAGACGCAGGCGGUUGCAGAUCGGUGAUAAUCACUGGUUUGAGGAAAGUCCGGACUCCCGAAAGACCAAACUUGCUGGAUAACGUCCAGUGCGAGCGAUCGUGAGGAUAGUGCCACAGAAAGAUACCGCCAAUCAAUUUUAGAUUUUAGAUUUUAAAUUUUGGAUUGAAUCUAAAAUCCAAAAUCCAAAAUCCAAAAUUGUUUGGUAAGGGUGCAAAGGUGCGGUAAGAGCGCACCAGCAGCAUCGAGAGGUGCUGGCUCGGUAAACCCCGGUUGGGAGCAAGGCCGAAGGAACUACGGUUGGUCUUUUACCAGUUCCGCUCAACAAGAGCCGCUAGAGGCGUCUGGUAACAGGCGUCCCAGAUAGAUAACUGCCCUCGCAAGAGAACAGAAUCCGGCUUAUGUGCUGCUCUUAAA